Molecule: ribosomal RNA, 460 nt
Filed under: uncultured bacterium
Lineage: Bacteria
Description: partial 16S ribosomal RNA
Rfam family: Bacterial small subunit ribosomal RNA
Source: RNAcentral
CCUACGGGAGGCAGCAGUGAGGAAUAUUGGUCAAUGGACGAGAGUCUGAACCAGCCAAGUAGCGUGAAGGAUGACUGCCCUAUGGGUUGUACACUUCUUUUAUAAAGGAAUAAAACGAGGCACGUGUGCCUUUUUGCAUGUACUUUAUGAAUAAGGAUCGGCUAACUCCGUGCCAGCAGCCGCGGUAAUACGGAGGGGGCGAGCGUUAAUCGGAAUUACUGGGCUUAAAGCGCUCGUAGGCGGUAUGUCAAGUCACGGGGGAAAUCCCCGCGUGAACGGGGGGAACUGCCUUUGAAACUGGCAAACUGGAGUGUGUGAGAGGAUAGUGGAAUGCCAGGUGUAGGAGUGAAAUCCGUAGAUAUCUGGAGGAACAUCAGUGGCGAAGGCGACUAUCUGGCACAUAACUGACGCUGAGGAGCGAAAGCGUGGGUAGCAAACAGGAUUAGAUACCCCAGUAGUC